UUGGCUGCAGUGAAACAUUUCCUCUGCUUCUCUUAACCACUGAACCAGGUUUCCCAGAGACUAUGGGUUGAGGAGGAAUUGGAAGUUUGUCGGCUUAGACCUGGUGUCAUUCCAUCAGUAUUAAACUUCCAGGCUCAUCUUGGAAGAGUACGUGCCAGAAAGAAAAUGACCAAGCAGCCUUGAGAUCUUAGGCAGCGUCUCCCUGAGACCAAAGAACUACAGACUCUUCACAACCUGCUCAAACUCUUGGUACAGGACCUCACCACACGGGUCAAGAAGGUUUCUGUCUCAUUUCUACUCUGAAGCUCACCUUCUCCUGCUCAAACUGCUGACAAAUGUUUCUGCUGCUCUAAAGUCUGGUCUCCAGAACUUCCUAAAAACUCUCAA
Long non-coding RNA from Amphiprion ocellaris (clown anemonefish), 387 nucleotides. Lineage: Eukaryota; Metazoa; Chordata; Actinopteri; Pomacentridae. The record is from Ensembl.